UCAGCUGAGCUCCGCUCUGCACAGACACAGUGCGUUACAAGAAAGCCCGAGCGCUGAAAUGAGAAUGGAUCUAAAACCUUCACGCGUUCACGACAUACGGGACAAUUUAAAGGUUUUUCUAGAUGUUUUUUUUUCCCCCUCCGUCCUUGUUCUUCUCCUUCUGUCGGUCCAAAGAUCUUCUAGAGUGGCGGCUCCGGACGGCGAUCCCCCUCCUGCUUCCUCCCUGCUCUGCGAUAAUAUGCUCAGAAGGAGAGGGUCUGCUGCUGGAGGAGGAAAGUUCUUUUUAUAGACACAUGAAGUACUAAGCACGGAGUCUCAAGGCCUCGGGGUGUGAUUGAGCUGCUCAGGCACCACAAACAUCACAUUCUUCACAGACAGAUUCACCUCCUCAUCCGCAUGCCCUGAGGAUCACAUCACUUUGACUGAUGCUCAUAAGACCAGUGUUUUGAAAAAAAGACUUCUCACAGCCACGAGUGACAAAACUGGAAUGUGACCCCUGACCCAGCAUCCUUCAUGCGGCCUGCUGCUCCCCUGUUCACGCCAGGCGCCUGAAGCGAUUGAGUGAAGUCUCCUCGGGAUGUUACUGUAAUUUCUGCGAAAUGUCCCAGUGACCGGUAGGCAAAGGUCUCCGUCAACCUGGCCACAAUCUAACGAAUAUGUACGUCAUGCUCAUUAGAUGAACAUGAUGCACAUAUUGGUACAUGGUGAUGGAAAUGUUUAGAUCCUUGAAUUCUGUGAAAAUUUUAUAUGCCAAUGUACGUAAUGGUAAUUUUACUAUGCAAUGUUCUGAAUGCUUGAUGUUCUGACACAUGAACGAUAUACUCUGUUCUUUGUAAGAUGUGUUUCUCUGCAAAUGAGUGACGUGGCCUAUGUGAACUUGGGAUAAGGGGGGACAGAAGCAGUCGCAGCUCACCAGUACCAGUCCUUCCUAUGCUCUUGACCAAUCGUUAAACCAAUCGUUAAACUUUGUGCUUUAUUUAGCUUUUAACAGUGUCAUAACUAUAAGAUAUGUACUCGGACAGUGCUUCUGCGUCAUACUUGCAGACUCUGUCUCGAUGAUUUGAUCCGCUUCGCAAAGGUUUGUUUACUUAUAAUAAAAUACAAUCUACAGUCUUUCAGAUGUCCACCACAUGUACGGUAUUAAAAGCGUCAGCUAAAGUCGGAGCACUGCAAAUUGUUUUUGUGCUUGACAAGAUUUAAAAUUAGCUUCCUUUUUUUGCAGCGAGUGCAGUAAAAUGGCCUGUAGUGGCCUAAAAUAAGUAGAUGACUGUUGACACUAUAUAACACUAGUAGGAGGUUCAAAAUGUCUGUGGCUUAGUUCCAAAAAAAACAGGCAGACUAUCCAUUUACAAGCUCACAAUGAGGCAUUCUGUCAUGCCAUCACCAUAGGAUUGUGUUUCAAUUCAAACAUGGUUACCAUGGUAGCAGCAAGUGCAGUUUGAAAUGAACGCAGGGUCAGGGUCGGCCUUGUUGUUGCAAAAAGUGCUCAUCCAGCCUGUUUACCCUCAAACAAAGCAACGUUGUAAACAUCUCAGUGAUGAUGUUGCCAUGUUUCACUGCACUGUUUUUUUUGUUGUUGAUAUUAACACAUUUGUAAUUAAUUGUUUGUUUGUUUGUUAGUUAUUUUUGUGUGUGUGUUUGGUGCUGUUUAGGUUUUUGUGUAAUUUCUUUUCAGAUUUUCCUGUAAUUCACCUUAGUUACUUUCAAUAUGGUGAUGCCCAUUUUGGGAAAACCGGAAAUCCUAAAACAUUUCUUCCUUCUUAUUAGAAUAUAGGAGAUUAGGUUUAACUUUAGUGUCAUAGUUGUGAACACUAUUUCAUAUGCAAAACAAGAUCGAAAGACUUCAGGCAGUGAAUUCAGCACAGUGUCAUCAUAUUUCUCAGAAGAUGUAAUAAAAAUUUAUGUCAGAUAAGGACACUCCCAGAUUCAACCCAGGCGGACUGAUAUGUAUUCCCAAUAAAUCAUUGAGGUUGCUGCC
Molecule: long non-coding RNA, 1978 nt
Organism: Scophthalmus maximus (turbot)
Lineage: Eukaryota; Metazoa; Chordata; Actinopteri; Pleuronectiformes; Scophthalmidae
Exons: 3
Source: RefSeq, a predicted model, not a curated record